Amblyraja radiata (thorny skate) is the source of this 132-nucleotide long non-coding RNA. RefSeq lists it as uncharacterized. The record is from RefSeq and is a predicted model, not a curated record. The transcript has 3 exons. NCBI's taxonomy places the organism in Eukaryota, Metazoa, Chordata, Chondrichthyes, Rajiformes, Rajidae.
CAGGCAGCAUCUCUGGAAACACCAAAUUAUUUCAGUCUGACCUCGUGCCCUUCAGCCUUUAACACACAACAUGGUGGCACUACAGGCACAGAGGGGCCGGGCAUGAUGAAAUCUGUAAUGCAUUAGAGAAUC